RNAcentral lists this non-coding RNA (178 nucleotides) under Oxalobacter sp. RNAcentral describes it as "6S RNA". It matches the Rfam family "6S / SsrS RNA". Rfam says of the family: E. coli 6S RNA was the first non coding RNA to be sequenced, but its function was unknown until recently. It consists of 184 nucleotides that fold into an extended hairpin structure with a large single-stranded internal bulge. The 6S RNA specifically associates with RNA polymerase holoenzyme containing the sigma70 specificity factor. The record is from RNAcentral. Lineage: Bacteria; Pseudomonadati; Pseudomonadota; Betaproteobacteria; Burkholderiales; Oxalobacteraceae.
ACUACCCUGCCGUGUUCGUGAAUGUCUAAUAUUCCUUGAACCAUUCACUCGCACCGGUCGUGGAAAUUUGUUUGAUGGGUGUGCGCGUCGCUAGUCCGAUGAACCCGAAAUUGAACUAACUACGACCACCUGAACCACAGGUUCGGGAUGCUGACAUAGCGGCACAGGCGGGGCUCCU